GAUGAACGCUGGCGGCGUGCCUAAUACAUGCAAGUCGAGCGAACAGACGAGGAGCUUGCUCCUCUGACGUUAGCGGCGGACGGGUGAGUAACACGUGGAUAACCUACCUAUAAGACUGGGAUAACUUCGGGAAACCGGAGCUAAUACCGGAUAAUAUAUUGAACCGCAUGGUUUAAUAGUGAAAGACGGUUUUGAUGUCACUUAUAGAUGGAUCCGCGCCGCAUUAGCUAGUUGGUAAGGUAACGGCUUACCAAGGCAACGAUGCGUAGCCGACCUGAGAGGGUGAUCGGCCACACUGGAACUGAGACACGGUCCAGACUCCUACGGGAGGCAGCAGUAGGGAAUCUUGCGCAAUGGGCGAAAGCCUGACGGAGCAACGCCGCGUGAGUGAUGAAGGUCUUCGGAUCGUAAAACUCUGUUAUUAGGGAAGAACAAAUGUGUAAGUAACUAUGCACGUCUUGACGGUACCUAAUCAGAAAUCCACGGCUAACUACGUG
This 497-nucleotide ribosomal RNA is filed under the name uncultured bacterium. RNAcentral describes it as "partial 16S ribosomal RNA". It matches the Rfam family "Bacterial small subunit ribosomal RNA", at positions 28 to 507 of the family's 1533-position model. The record is from RNAcentral.